RNAcentral lists this ribosomal RNA (764 nucleotides) under uncultured marine bacterium. RNAcentral's name for it is "bacterial SSU rRNA". It matches the Rfam family "Bacterial small subunit ribosomal RNA", at positions 56 to 796 of the family's 1533-position model. The record is from RNAcentral.
UGCAGUCGAACGGUAACAGGCCGCUUUGAUCCCUUCGGGGUGAUCUUGGCGCUGACGAGUGGCGGACGGGUGAGUAAUGCUUGGGAAUCUGCCCAGUAGUGGGGGACAACACGAGGAAACUCGUGCUAAUACCGCAUACGUCCUACGGGAGAAAGUGGGGGAUCUUCGGACCUCACGCUAUUGGAUGAGCCCAAGUCGGAUUAGCUUGUUGGUGAGGUAAAGGCUCACCAAGGCGACGAUCCGUAGCUGGUCUGAGAGGACGAUCAGCCACACUGGGACUGAGACACGGCCCAGACUCCUACGGGAGGCAGCAGUGGGGAAUAUUGGACAAUGGGGGCAACCCUGAUCCAGCAAUGCCGCGUGUGUGAAGAAGGCCUGCGGGUUGUAAAGCACUUUCAGUAGAGAAGAAAUGCCUGGGGUUAAUAACUCCGGGUUUUGACGUAACCUACAGAAGAAGCACCGGCUAACUCCGUGCCAGCAGCCGCGGUAAUACGGAGGGUGCGAGCGUUAAUCGGAAUUACUGGGCGUAAAGCGCGCGUAGGCGGCUAGGUCAGUCGGAUGUGAAAGCCCCGGGCUCAACCUGGGAAUUGCAUUCGAAACUGCCUGGCUAGAGUAUGGGAGAGGGAAGCGGAAUUUCCGGUGUAGCGGUGAAAUGCGUAGAUAUCGGAAGGAACACCAGUGGCGAAGGCGGCUUGCUGGCCCAAUACUGACGCUCAGGUGCGAAAGCGUGGGGUAGCGAACAGGAUUAGAUACCCUGGUAGUCC